Molecule: unclassified non-coding RNA, 195 nt
Filed under: plant metagenome
Description: partial contains small subunit ribosomal RNA, internal transcribed spacer 1, and 5.8S ribosomal RNA
Source: RNAcentral
UCUCCGUUGGUGAACCAGCGGAGGGAUCAUUACCGAGUUUACAACUCCCAAACCCCUGUGAACAUACCAUUUGUUGCCUCGGCGGUGCCUGCUUCGGCAGCCCGCCAGAGGACCCAAACCCUUGAUUUUAUACAGUAUCUUCUGAGUAAAUGAUUAAAUAAAUCAAAACUUUCAACAACGGUUCUCUUGGUUCUG